GACGAACGCUGGCGGCGUGCUUAACACAUGCAAGUCGAACGAUGAAGCCUAGCUUGCUAGGUGGAUUAGUGGCGAACGGGUGAGUAAUACGUGAGUGACCUACCUUUGACUCUGGGAUAAGCCUGGGAAACUGGGUCUAAUACCGGAUACGACCAAUCUCCGCAUGGGGUGUUGGUGGAAAGCGUUAUGGAGUGGUUUUAGAUGGGCUCACGGCCUAUCAGCUUGUUGGUGAGGUAAUGGCUUACCAAGGCGACGACGGGUAGCCGGCCCGAGAGGGUGACCGGCCACACUGGGACUGAGACACGGCCCAGACUCCUACGGGAGGCAGCAGUGGGGAAUAUUGCACAAUGGGCGCAAGCCUGAUGCAGCGACGCCGCGUGAGGGAUGACGGCCUUCGUGUUGUAAACCUCUGUUAGCAUCGAAGAAGCGAAAGUGACGGUAGGUGCAAAGAAAGCGCCGGCUAACUACGCGC
RNAcentral lists this ribosomal RNA (472 nucleotides) under uncultured Rothia sp. RNAcentral's name for it is "bacterial SSU rRNA". It matches the Rfam family "Bacterial small subunit ribosomal RNA", at positions 28 to 508 of the family's 1533-position model. The record is from RNAcentral. Lineage: Bacteria; Bacillati; Actinomycetota; Actinomycetes; Micrococcales; Micrococcaceae.